CCUACGGGCGGCUGCAGUCGAGAAUCAUUCACAAUGGGGGAAACCCUGAUGGUGCGACGCCGCGUGGGGGAAUGAAGGUCUUCGGAUUGUAAACCCCUGUCAUGUGGGAGCAAAUUAAAAGGAUAGUAGCACAAGAGGAAGCGACGGCUAACUCUGUGCCAGCAGCCGCGGUAAUACAGAGGUGUCAAGCGUUUUUCGGAAUCACUGGGCGUAAAGCGUGCGUAGGCUGUUUCGGAAGGAGGGUGUGAAAGGCGCGGGCCCAACCCGCGGACGGCAUAUGAUACUGCGAGACUAGAGUAAUGGAGGGGGAACCGGAAUUCUCGGUGUAGCAGUGAAAUGCGUAGAUAUCGAGAGGAACACUAGUGGCGAAGGCGGGUUCCUGGACAUUAACUGACGCUGAGGCACGAAGGCCAGGGGAGCGAAAGGGAUUAGAUACCCGUGUAGUC
This 446-nucleotide ribosomal RNA is filed under the name uncultured bacterium. RNAcentral describes it as "partial 16S ribosomal RNA". It matches the Rfam family "Bacterial small subunit ribosomal RNA", at positions 338 to 795 of the family's 1533-position model. The record is from RNAcentral.